GUCUUUUUGAUUAUAAUUUAAAGUCUGACCUGCCCAGUGAAAAUUUAAACGGCCGCAGUAUACUGACUGUGCAAAGGUAGCAUAAUCAAUAGUUUUUUAAUUGAAAGCUAGAAUGAAUGGUUUGAUGAGAAAUUAACUGUCUCAUUUUAAUUUUAUUAGAAUUUUAUUUUUAAGUUAAAAAGCUUAAAUAUUAUUUAAAGACGAGAAGACCCUAUAGAAUUUUAUAAUUUAUAUAUAGAAUAAUUUAGAUUAAAUUUUUUUAUGUAAAAAAUUAUUUGAUUGGGGUGAUUUUAAAAUUUAAUUAACUUUUAAUAAAUUUAUUCAAAAAUUAUUGUGUAUUUGAUCUAAUAUUAUUGAUUAAAAGAAUAAAUUACCUUAGGGAUAACAGCGUAAUUUUUUUAGAAAGUUCAAAUUGAAAAAAGAGAUUGCGACCUCGAUGUUGGAUUAAAAUAAAUUUAUGGUGUAGAAGCUAUUGGAUUAGGUCUGUUCGACCUUUAAAAUUUUACA
This 507-nucleotide ribosomal RNA is filed under the name Symbiotes gibberosus. RNAcentral's name for it is "partial 16S ribosomal RNA". The stretch from base 381 to 507 matches the Rfam family "Bacterial large subunit ribosomal RNA", at positions 2473 to 2600 of the family's 2925-position model. The record is from RNAcentral. Lineage: Eukaryota; Metazoa; Arthropoda; Insecta; Coleoptera; Endomychidae.